Molecule: ribosomal RNA, 275 nt
Filed under: uncultured prokaryote
Description: partial 16S ribosomal RNA
Rfam family: Bacterial small subunit ribosomal RNA
Source: RNAcentral
UACGGAGGAUGCGAGCGUUAUCCGGAUUUAUUGGGUUUAAAGGGUGCGUAGGCGGCUUUUUAAGUCAGCGGUGAAAUUUUGCAGCUCAACUGUAAAAGUGCCUUCGAAACUGGUUUCCUUGAGUGUAGAUGAAGUAGGCGGAAUUUGUGGUGUAGCGGUGAAAUGCUUAGAUAUCACGAGGAACUCCGAUUGCGCAGGCAGCUUACUAAACUACUACUGACGCUCAGGCACGAAGGCGUGGGGAUCAAACAGGAUUAGAUACCCUGGUAGUCCCU